AGAUAACUCAUUUGAGAAGCUAACGUUGGAGGUGGUAUGUCAUGCGAAUGGACUUCCUUUAGCCCUAAAAGUGUGGGGUUCUUUCUUACACAAUAGGGACAUAACUGCGUGGAGAAGUGCUAUAGAGCAAAUGAAAAUGAACUCUAAAUCAGAAAUCGUUGAAAAGCUCAAAAUUAGCUAUGAUGGACUGGAGACCAUACAACGAGAUGUAUUUCUACAUAUAGCAUGCUUCUUACGAGGGCAAACAAAGGAGUACAUCAUGCAAAUUCUUGAGAGUUGUUAUGCUGGAGCAGCUAUUGAAUUGAGCGUCCUUAUUGACAAAUCUCUUGUGUUCAUCUCUGACGAUGAUACAAUUCAAAUGCAUGACUUAAUACAAGAUAUGGGUAAAUAUAUAGUAAAACUGCAAAAGAAUGAUCCCAGUGAAUAUAGCAGACUAUGGGAUCCUAAUGAUUUCGAAGAAGUGAUGGUCAACAAUACAGUAAGUAGACUAAACAAUGCAAUAAUAUUCAAUUUAUGGUUUUCAUAUACCAAUAUUCAUUUAUCUUAUGUUAUUAUGUCAUGAAUUAGUCUAGUAGCCGCUUAAAAUGUUUAAUUCCAACUUUCAUUUUUGGAUUAAUUUGAAAUUUGUACGAUAUUUUGUACAUUAUAACUCAAUCAGUAAAAGUAUAAGUUAAGAUUAUCUAGCUAUGUAUCCUUAGUAACCUUUUAAUGAUGAAUAUCCUCAAAUGGAAAAAUACAAAAUAUUUUUAGUGGUGCUAGCUCUUUAAUUAAGAACUUCAAGUUCAAUAAUAAUUAGUAAUAUAAAACAUGACAAAAUUUGGCAUUGCAGGGAGUG
This 835-nucleotide long non-coding RNA is filed under the name Solanum tuberosum (potato). Its description in RNAcentral is "long non-coding RNA (STUB_LNC010371)". The record is from RNAcentral. Lineage: Eukaryota; Viridiplantae; Streptophyta; Magnoliopsida; Solanales; Solanaceae.